This is a long non-coding RNA of Cuculus canorus (common cuckoo), 456 nucleotides long. RefSeq lists it as uncharacterized. The transcript has 3 exons. Lineage: Eukaryota; Metazoa; Chordata; Aves; Cuculiformes; Cuculidae. The record is from RefSeq and is a predicted model, not a curated record.
GAAGUUUUAUUAUUUUAAGUGCAGUUGUAACAGCUGGAGCUUGGACGGAUUAUUUUCGGUCAACUCAUCUUUGUGACCAAGAUCAUCCAACACUUGAUCUUUUCCAUGUUGAUCAGUAUCAACAGAUCAGCUUUGAUCUACUUCUUCCACGCUUGCUGUCAGGGCACUGCACGGGGCACUGUGUGUGACAUCCGUGGAGUUUCCUUAUUGGUCUUUUUAAAAUCAAUCCAUCCCUGACUUAUAUGAGCUCAGCUGUUUGGAAGAUGGACAUUGAGAGUCCCCGCUCAUCUUGCUUCCACGAGGUGAUGAAACAGCAGCAGGUUUCUGUUCAGCAUUUCCAUGCCUGACUCCUUUUCUACCAGCGGGAGAAGGUUUCAUCAGAAAUUGACCUCUACCAAGUCUGCAAAACAGAGGAAAAGAAACAAUGAAGCUCCGGCUGGUGCUUCCAGCUAUUUG